CCUACGGGCGGCAGCAGUAGGGAAUCUUUCACAAUGGGCGAAAGCCUGAUGGAGCAACGCCGCGUGCAGGAUGAAGGCCUUCGGGUUGUAAACUGCUUUUAUAAGCGAGAAAUAUGAUGGAAACUUAUGAAUAAGGAUCGGCUAACUACGUGCCAGCAGCCGCGGUCAUACGUAGGAUCCGAGCAUUAUCCGGAGUGACUGGGUGUAAAGAGUUGCGUAGGUGGCAUAAUAAGUAGCUAGUGAAAUCUGGUGGCUCAACCAUUCAGACUAUUAGCUAAACUGUUAAGCUCGAGACCGUUAGGGGUAACUGGAAUUUCUAGUGUAGGAGUGAAAUCCGUAGAUAUUAGAAGGAACACCAAUAGCGUAGGCAGGUUGCUGGGACGGUUCUGACACUAAGGCACGAAAGCGUAGGGAGCAAACGGGAUUAGAUACCCCAGUAGUC
RNAcentral lists this ribosomal RNA (442 nucleotides) under uncultured bacterium. Its description in RNAcentral is "partial 16S ribosomal RNA". It matches the Rfam family "Bacterial small subunit ribosomal RNA", at positions 338 to 795 of the family's 1533-position model. The record is from RNAcentral.